Non-coding RNA from Nicotiana tabacum (common tobacco), 928 nucleotides. NCBI's taxonomy places the organism in Eukaryota, Viridiplantae, Streptophyta, Magnoliopsida, Solanales, Solanaceae. The record is from RefSeq and is a predicted model, not a curated record.
UCCUUCCUUCCAUUCACCUUCUUUCUUUCUUUCUUUCUUUCUUUCUUUCUUUUGUUUUGCACAAUUGCUUCAUUCUUGUGUUGGUGUUAAUCUUGAAAGAGUACUGUGAUCAGUAUUUUGAUUUUGGAUUUUAUCUCUCACAAAAGCAAAGGAGUAACUACAGUUAGUCUAGGAAUGGCAUGUGAAAAUGAAACAUUCAGAAUAUGUAGUAAUGUAUCUGAAGCAUUGAGUUACAUGCCCAGUCCCCUACAAUACACUGAGCUUAACACUCAAAGUGAGCUGUGGAUAUUCUGGAGCCAAUACAAUAACGAGUUCCCUACUGUCUUUCCCAUCACUGCUGCUACUACUAUCUAUCAUGAUACCAUUAAGGAGAAAAUCACAUCUGCUCUUAAGAAUGCCUACAUAUCUGACUACUACGGAUGCUGGUUGGUUCAAUUUUGGGCACCUGUGACUACUAAAGAUCAGAUUUUUCUAACAACUUGUGACCUACCUUUUGGUCUUACAAAACUCCAUGAAGGACUUUGUUAUUAUAGGUCAGUGUCUGAAAUUUAGAAUUCCUAUUGUAACUGAGAAUGAGAAUCAACUUGGCCCUACCGGACGCGUGUUCAAACAUGGUUUGCCUGAAAUGAGUCCGAAUAUUUCGCGCUAUUCUGCUGCUGAUUUUCCUCAGCAUAGCUCGGCUUUUACUGCUGUUUAGGGAACUAUUUGGCUGUACCGGUUUUUGAGCCGCUUAGUAAUGAAUGCGCUGGAGUACUUGAGAUCAUAGGGGAUAAGAAGGGAAGCUUCUCUCAAGACCUCGUUCAAAUGGUCUAUGAAAUGCUUAAGAAGGUGGAGUUGAGAUCAUCAAACAUGUACGGCCACCCUGAUAAGAAGGGCCUUAGAGGGCUAGAACGCGCCCAAAAAGAGCUCGGGGAUCAGUUGAAUUUUU